UGCCAGCCGCCGCGGUAAUACGGAGGGUGCAAGCGUUGUUCGGAAUUACUGGGCGUAAAGCGCACGUAGGCGGUCUUGUAAGUCGGAUGUGAAAGCCCUUGGCUUAACCGAGGAAGUGCAUUCGAAACUGCAAGACUUGAAUAUGGGAGAGGAUAGCGGAAUUCCCGGUGUAGAGGUGAAAUUCGUAGAUAUCGGGAGGAACACCAGUGGCGAAGGCGGCUGUCUGGACCAAUAUUGACGCUGAGGUGCGAAAGCGUGGGGAGCAAACAGGAUUAGAUA
Molecule: ribosomal RNA, 279 nt
Filed under: uncultured bacterium
Lineage: Bacteria
Description: partial 16S ribosomal RNA
Rfam family: Bacterial small subunit ribosomal RNA
Source: RNAcentral